RNAcentral lists this ribosomal RNA (301 nucleotides) under uncultured bacterium. RNAcentral's name for it is "partial 16S ribosomal RNA". It matches the Rfam family "Bacterial small subunit ribosomal RNA", at positions 509 to 807 of the family's 1533-position model. The record is from RNAcentral.
CAGCCGCCGCGGUAAUACGGAGGGUGCGAGCGUUAAUCGGAAUUACUGGGCGUAAAGCGUACGCAGGCGGUUUGUUAAGUCAGAUGUGAAAUUCCCGAGCUUAACUCGGGAACUGCCUUUAAGACUGCCGAGCUAGUAGGUGAGAGAGGUAAGUGGAAUUCCGAGUGUAGAGGUGAAAUUCGUAGAUAUUCGGAAGAACACCAGUGGCGAAGGCGGCCAUCUGGGACAACACUGACGCUGAGGCACGAAAGCGUGGGGAGCAAACAGGAUUAGAUACCCCAGUAGUCCCUGUCUCUUAUAC